RNAcentral lists this long non-coding RNA (611 nucleotides) under Musa acuminata (dwarf banana). RNAcentral's name for it is "long non-coding RNA (MACU_LNC007108)". Lineage: Eukaryota; Viridiplantae; Streptophyta; Magnoliopsida; Zingiberales; Musaceae. The record is from RNAcentral.
AAGGGGGACGGCAAGCUGAAGUUAAGAGGGUUGUAUAAGGAUUUGGAGAACAUUUUCUCAUCAAAGUGAUCUAGUAAUUGAUCAACUCAUUCAAUUUAUGUGAGUUCAAAGCUCAUACGAGCCUCGAUGGAGAAGUGGAUCCUGAUCUUAUUCAAAGAAUAAAAAUAGGUAUUUGCACAGAUAUAUGGUGUUUCGGGUCCAGGAUCAUGCCAAUGGUCACUAAUUGAAGGGAAUAAAGCCUAUGAACCAAAUCCCGGUUUCUGUCAGUGCUUCAUACUUCAUAGCUUAUUGCUAUUAUCGAUUUUCAACUUUUGUUAUGCUACAUCUGGUCUGAGCCUUCUUCUCAUUUGAUAGUUUGUCUAAUCUGACAUGUUUUCUAUAGGAAAUGUUGUUUCGUUAAAAGUAUCAGAAGAUAAUCUUGUACUGUCUAUCUGAAUCCGGUACAAUGUAUAGUUGAAGGGAAUGAAAACUACAAACCAAAUGCAUAUUCAUUUCGUAUUAAGAGUAGUGUAAUUUUUUUAUGUAUAUGCUUGUGAUCUCGGUUUAAAUAGUUUAAUUUUUUAUGAACCCAUAAAUGAUGGGGUUAUAAUAAUAGAAUUUAAUUUGGCUAG